GAUGAACGCUGGCGGCGUGCCUAAUACAUGCAAGUCGAACGAGGUGCUUGAGUAGCAAUACGAGAGCAUCCUAGUGGCGAACGGGUGAGUAACGCGUUGGUGACCUACCCCAAAGUGUGGGAUAACAGUCCGAAAGGACUGCUAAUACCGCAUGUGGUUAUCGGAUUUAGAAACUGAUAUCUAAAGGAGCAAUUCGCUUUGGGAGGGACCUGCGUCCCAUCAGCUAGUUGGUGAGGUAAUGGCUCACCAAGGCUACGACGGGUAGGGGACCUGAGAGGGUGACCCCCCACAAUGGAACUGAAACACGGUCCAUACACCUACGGGUGGCAGCAGUAGGGAAUAUUGCUCAAUGGGCGAAAGCCUGAAGCAGCAACGCCGCGUGUGCGAUGAAGGCCUUCGGGCCGUAAAGCACUUUUCUUGAGAGAUGAGCAAGGACGAAGUAAGUCUCAGGAAUAAAGUACUUCGGCUAACUACCGUGGUCCACGCCAGCCGCGGUUAACUCACUAA
RNAcentral lists this ribosomal RNA (507 nucleotides) under uncultured bacterium. Its description in RNAcentral is "bacterial SSU rRNA". It matches the Rfam family "Bacterial small subunit ribosomal RNA", at positions 28 to 531 of the family's 1533-position model. The record is from RNAcentral.